AGGGCGCACGGUGGAUGCCUUGGCACUAGAAGCCGAUGAAGGACGUUACUAACGACGAUAUGCUUUGGGGAGCUGUAAGUAAGCUUUGAUCCAGAGAUUUCCGAAUGGGGAAACCCAGCAUGAGUUAUGUCAUGUUAUCGAUAUGUGAAUACAUAGCAUAUCAGAAGGCACACCCGGAGAACUGAAACAUCUUAGUACCCGGAGGAAGAGAAAGAAAAUUCGAUUCCCUUAGUAGCGGCGAGCGAAACGGGAAGAGCCCAAACCAACAAGCUUGCUUGUUGGGGUUGUAGGACACUCUAUACGGAGUUACAAAGGACGACAUUAGACGAAUCAUCUGGAAAGAUGAAUCAAAGAAGGUAAUAAUCCUGUAGUCGAAAAUGUUGUCUCUCUUGAGUGGAUCCUGAGUACGACGGAGCACGUGAAAUUCCGUCGGAAUCUGGGAGGACCAUCUCCUAAGGCUAAAUACUCUCUAGUGACCGAUAGUGAACCAGUACCGUGAGGGAAAGGUGAAAAGCACCCCGGAAGGGGAGUGAAAUAGAACCUGAAACCGUGUGCUUACAAGUAGUCAGAGCCCGUUAAUGGGUGAUGGCGUGCCUUUUGUAGAAUGAACCGGCGAGUUACGAUUUGAUGCAAGGUUAAGCAGUAAAUGUGGAGCCGUAGCGAAAGCGAGUCUGAAUAGGGCGUUUAGUAUUUGGUCGUAGACCCGAAACCAGGUGAUCUACCCUUGGUCAGGUUGAAGUUCAGGUAACACUGAAUGGAGGACCGAACCGACUUACGUUGAAAAGUGAGCGGAUGAACUGAGGGUAGCGGAGAAAUUCCAAUCGAACCUGGAGAUAGCUGGUUCUCUCCGAAAUAGCUUUAGGGCUAGCCUCAAGUGAUGAUUAUUGGAGGUAGAGCACUGUUUGGACGAGGGGCCCCUCUCGGGUUACCGAAUUCAGACAAACUCCGAAUGCCAAUUAAUUUAACUUGGGAGUCAGAACAUGGGUGAUAAGGUCCGUGUUCGAAAGGGAAACAGCCCAGACCACCAGCUAAGGUCCCAAAAUAUAUGUUAAGUGGAAAAGGAUGUGGCGUUGCCCAGACAACUAGGAUGUUGGCUUAGAAGCAGCCAUCAUUUAAAGAGUGCGUAAUAGCUCACUAGUCGAGUGACACUGCGCCGAAAAUGUACCGGGGCUAAACAUAUUACCGAAGCUGUGGAUUGUCCUUUGGACAAUGGUAGGAGAGCGUUCUAAGGGCGUUGAAGCAUGAUCGUAAGGACAUGUGGAGCGCUUAGAAGUGAGAAUGCCGGUGUGAGUAGCGAAAGACGGGUGAGAAUCCCGUCCACCGAUUGACUAAGGUUUCCAGAGGAAGGCUCGUCCGCUCUGGGUUAGUCGGGUCCUAAGCUGAGGCCGACAGGCGUAGGCGAUGGAUAACAGGUUGAUAUUCCUGUACCACCUAUAAUCGUUUUAAUCGAUGGGGGGACGCAGUAGGAUAGGCGAAGCGUGCGAUUGGAUUGCACGUCUAAGCAGUAAGGCUGAGUAUUAGGCAAAUCCGGUACUCGUUAAGGCUGAGCUGUGAUGGGGAGAAGACAUUGUGUCUUCGAGUCGUUGAUUUCACACUGCCGAGAAAAGCCUCUAGAUAGAAAAUAGGUGCCCGUACCGCAAACCGACACAGGUAGUCAAGAUGAGAAUUCUAAGGUGAGCGAGCGAACUCUCGUUAAGGAACUCGGCAAAAUGACCCCGUAACUUCGGGAGAAGGGGUGCUCUUUAGGGUUAACGCCCAGAAGAGCCGCAGUGAAUAGGCCCAAGCGACUGUUUAUCAAAAACACAGGUCUCUGCUAAACCGUAAGGUGAUGUAUAGGGGCUGACGCCUGCCCGGUGCUGGAAGGUUAAGAGGAGUGGUUAGCUUCUGCGAAGCUACGAAUCGAAGCCCCAGUAAACGGCGGCCGUAACUAUAACGGUCCUAAGGUAGCGAAAUUCCUUGUCGGGUAAGUUCCGACCCGCACGAAAGGCGUAACGAUUUGGGCACUGUCUCAACGAGAGACUCGGUGAAAUCAUAGUACCUGUGAAGAUGCAGGUUACCCGCGACAGGACGGAAAGACCCCGUGGAGCUUUACUGUAGCCUGAUAUUGAAAUUCGGCACAGCUUGUACAGGAUAGGUAGGAGCCUUUGAAACGUGAGCGCUAGCUUACGUGGAGGCGCUGGUGGGAUACUACCCUAGCUGUGUUGGCUUUCUAACCCGCACCACUUAUCGUGGUGGGAGACAGUGUCAGGCGGGCAGUUUGACUGGGGCGGUCGCCUCCUAAAAGGUAACGGAGGCGCUCAAAGGUUCCCUCAGAAUGGUUGGAAAUCAUUCGCAGAGUGUAAAGGUAUAAGGGAGCUUGACUGCGAGAGUUACAACUCGAGCAGGGACGAAAGUCGGGCUUAGUGAUCCGGUGGUUCCGCAUGGAAGGGCCAUCGCUCAACGGAUAAAAGCUACCCUGGGGAUAACAGGCUUAUCUCCCCCAAGAGUUCACAUCGACGGGGAGGUUUGGCACCUCGAUGUCGGCUCAUCGCAUCCUGGGGCUGUAGUCGGUCCCAAGGGUUGGGCUGUUCGCCCAUUAAAGCGGUACGCGAGCUGGGUUCAGAACGUCGUGAGACAGUUCGGUCCCUAUCCGUCGUGGGCGUAGGAAAUUUGAGAGGAGCUGUCCUUAGUACGAGAGGACCGGGAUGGACAUACCUCUGGUGUACCAGUUGUCGUGCCAACGGCAUAGCUGGGUAGCUAUGUGUGGACGGGAUAAGUGCUGAAAGCAUCUAAGCAUGAAGCCCCCCUCAAGAUGAGAUUUCCCAACUUCGGUUAU
Molecule: ribosomal RNA, 2815 nt
Filed under: human gut metagenome
Description: bacterial LSU rRNA
Rfam family: Bacterial large subunit ribosomal RNA
Source: RNAcentral